AAAACACCUAGGCCAGCCCUCCGGCCUGACCCCUGGACACACCCCUCCUACCCUCACUCAAUAUAAGGAGCAAGCUCAGCACCACUGCCCCCACAACGUGCCAGAGAGCAAGGGGAACUGUGGUUUGCUCUGUUCUCCAUCUCCCUUGCUGUUACCCGGAAAUAAAACUGCAAGUAUUAGUCGCUCAGUCGUGUCAGACUCUUUGGGAUCCCACGGACUGUAGCCCACCAGGUUCCUCUGUCUGUGCAAUUCUCCAGGCAAGAACACUGGAGUGGGUUGCCAUUUCCUCCUCCAGGGGACCUUCCUGACCCAGGGAUUGAACCUGGGUAGAGGCCCCAAUAAAGCCCUGCCUGAAAAAAUAAAACGAACCCUGGAGAUCUCUUAAGAUCCACAUGGCACAGGGAAGGAGACUAGGGGUAGACAAACGCUCCUGUAUACCCAGGGGCAAUCAGGGAGAUUGAGUUAAGUCUACUCAGAACCGUGGGAAAGGGACAGAGUCUGGGGCUGGGGCCACAGCAGGACAGGUUGGGGCGGGGAACACCAGCCAGGGUCACCCCCCAACCUCGUCCACCUCAACCCCCCACUUCAAUUGCCCAGACCUAGGAGGGGAAGGGGGCGACAGAGGAUGAGACGGUUGGAUGGCAUCACCGACUCAAUGGACAUGAGUUUGAGCAAGUUCCGGGAGAUGGUGAUGGACAGGGAAGCCUGGCGUGCGGCAGUCCACAGGGCCGCAGAGAGUCGGACACGACUGAGCAACUGAACAGCAGCAAGCACCCUGCCUGUACAGGAAGACUGAGGUCUGGCUGUCCCUCUCAGGCCCUCGAGACCCCAGAGGAGGGGGCCUCUGCGGUGCCUGCUCAUUGAAUACUGCAUGUAAAGAACCGGGGGAGGCAAAUUUCAGGUGACUUUUAGCUCAGGUCAAAUAAGCAAAGGGAGCUCUUCUGGAAGAAAAAGAAGAAAAAGAGUUUUGCGCCUUAAGGGAUGAAGACGGUAUUGGUGGGACCUGAGGGAAGAGGGUCGUGAGUAGAGAAGGAGCAGAGACUCUAAGUGCUGGCCCCUGGCGGGUGGGAACCUGGAGCGUGUGCAAAGGCCCAAGGACUGUGCUGAUGGCUUGGCCCAGCCCUUCCGGGGGCCAGAACUGACUGCCUCAGAGCAGUGCCUGUCCUUGCCUGUACCUCCUCUGCCUGGGCCAGUGGUGAUGUAUAAGGAAAUGAUUGUUUCAUUAUCCACUUAGAAAGUUACAUACUGACGAUAUUGUUCAAGCUUU
This is a long non-coding RNA of Bos taurus (domestic cattle), 1267 nucleotides long. NCBI's taxonomy places the organism in Eukaryota, Metazoa, Chordata, Mammalia, Artiodactyla, Bovidae. The record is from Ensembl.